AUGUUUCGCAUGGAUACAAGCUCUUCGAUUACAUGUUGGAACGUGCGAGGUUUGAACAAUCCGGCGAAAAAGAAGGCGGUGAGGGAGUUCAUCUCCGCAAUCAAGUGUAAUAUGGUGUGUCUCCAGGAGACGACACUUGAUGUUGUAAACCAAUUUACUAUCAUGCAAUGUAUUGGACCAUCAUAUGAUGGCUUUGCUUACCUCCCGGCGAUUGAUACUCGUGGAGGUGUGGUUUUGUCUUGGGACUCGACCGUGGUGCAGGUGGAUCAUGUUGUCUUGGACACACAUGCUCUCACCGGACUGGUUCAUAACCUAGACGGGAGCCAGUGGUGGAUCAUAGUGGUGUAUGGUCCACAAGGAGAUGAGCAGAAGCUGGAGUUUUUGCAGGAGUUACGGUUACGAAGAACGGCAUGCCCCGGCCCCUGGAUGCUUCUGGGUGAUUUCAACAUGAUUCUUAGAGCUUCGGAGAAAAAUAACACCAACAUUAACAGGCGCACGUGA
Molecule: ribosomal RNA, 501 nt
Filed under: Triticum aestivum (bread wheat)
Lineage: Eukaryota; Viridiplantae; Streptophyta; Magnoliopsida; Poales; Poaceae
Description: partial small subunit ribosomal RNA
Source: RNAcentral